AAAAACCUUGACAAACUCCUUUGUCUCUGUUUUUGUUUAUGUUUAAGGUUUUACGUUUCGAGCGGCUUGAACUCAUUAUCUAAUUAUGAGAGAUCAUUAUCAUUAUAUAAUGACCUAGCUUUACUUUACGUGAAGGAGGUAAUGUGGGCUGAGCCCAUUAACACAUCUAAUCUCUUCUUAAGAGAUGCACGUGUAAUUCUCCAUAUUACAUAUAUAAUUAUAUCACAUAUAAUGUAUAUAGUAAUCCCUUAAGAACAUAACAUAUUAUUAAUCUAGUUUGC
This 281-nucleotide long non-coding RNA is filed under the name Brassica napus (rape). RNAcentral describes it as "long non-coding RNA (BNAP_LNC024024)". The record is from RNAcentral. Lineage: Eukaryota; Viridiplantae; Streptophyta; Magnoliopsida; Brassicales; Brassicaceae.